Molecule: long non-coding RNA, 684 nt
Organism: Lolium perenne
Lineage: Eukaryota; Viridiplantae; Streptophyta; Magnoliopsida; Poales; Poaceae
Source: RefSeq, a predicted model, not a curated record
CGGCGCGGCGUCCGGCGACAUAGGGAGCAGCGGGCGUGGCGAGGGAGGAACGGCGGCGUGUAAAUGGGAAAGCAACAUCAGCACGCCGGUGUCGGUGUGGUGGUCGAAGCCAAGUCGGCAGAGAGAGCUUUGCGGAAGAACAAACCUAAAAGAACAGAGGUUGAAGACGAGUUCGAGGGGAACAGGCUUCUGCGUGCGUUGGGAGGGUGAUCACAAGCUUUUUCCUUUAAAUAAUUGCUAUUAAAAUGGAUAAGGGCUUGAUGGAUGAUGAUAGGCACACUGAAACAUUCAUUAAUGUGGUUAAAAGAUUUAUUCAGUUUGCUUUUACCCAUUGAGAGAAGUUCGUUACCAGUGUUUACUUUAUAUGUAGCUGGAGGUGCAGAAAUCCAUGGCAAACCAAGCAUCACCUCUACAAGAAGAAUGACAGAGGAGUUGCUGCAAAAGAUCAAUGACCCCCUUUGAUGUGAUUCAGAGUGACUUGCUAGAUUCUUUUGUUCACUUCAAUGAAGAUCGCUAGUUUAGAAACAUAUAUAAGCUCUUGUGCACUAUUGCCGAUGACGUGCAUUCAUUUUAAAUUUAAAUUUGACCGAUCUUUGUAUAUCUUGGAUAUGAACCAUGUAUUGGAUAAUGAAUCAUGUCAAUGAUCACAUUGUGGAAUAAUUUCUAGAAUUAUGUGAAUGUUCA